RNAcentral lists this ribosomal RNA (144 nucleotides) under uncultured bacterium WB2. Its description in RNAcentral is "partial 16S ribosomal RNA". It matches the Rfam family "Bacterial small subunit ribosomal RNA", at positions 338 to 494 of the family's 1533-position model. The record is from RNAcentral.
CCUACGGGAGGCAGCAGUGGGGAAUAUUGCACAAUGGGCGCAAGCCUGAUGCAGCGACGCCGCGUGAGGGAUGACGGCCUUCGGGUUGUAAACCUCUUUCAGUAGGGAAGAAGCGAAAGUGACGGUACCUGCAGAAGAAGCCCG